GGACUAUCUCCAAACUUCUCCAGAACGCGGGACAGGCUCACUUGUGCCUCAAGUCCUCAUGAUCAAACUCCCAACUCCCCUCAGCUGUGGUUGGCUUCACUACUGGAGGAGGAGGCCAUCAACUCCAUGGACUAUGAGUUUAACUUCCAGCUGGAGAUUCGGGCUCCCUAUCUCCUCGCAGGUGUAGAGAGCCCGUCUCAUGCUAUCCGAGCUGAUGCAGACCCUCUGGCCCGCUCUGCCACCAGCGUCGUCAUCACUCUGGCAGACAAGUACACUUAUGACUGUCCUGUCGAAAUCCUCAUCUACCCGAGCG
This is a long non-coding RNA of Micropterus salmoides (largemouth bass), 313 nucleotides long. RefSeq lists it as uncharacterized. The record is from RefSeq and is a predicted model, not a curated record. The transcript is spliced from 3 exons. NCBI's taxonomy places the organism in Eukaryota, Metazoa, Chordata, Actinopteri, Centrarchiformes, Centrarchidae.